AAAUUGAAGAGUUUGAUCAUGGCUCAGAUUGAACGCUGGCGGCAGGCCUAACACAUGCAAGUCGAGCGGUAACACAGGGAGCUUGCUCCCGGGUGACGAGCGGCGGACGGGUGAGUAAUGUCUGGGAAACUGCCUGAUGGAGGGGGAUAAC
RNAcentral lists this ribosomal RNA (151 nucleotides) under Enterobacter asburiae. RNAcentral's name for it is "partial 16S ribosomal RNA". It matches the Rfam family "Bacterial small subunit ribosomal RNA", at positions 1 to 147 of the family's 1533-position model. Lineage: Bacteria; Pseudomonadati; Pseudomonadota; Gammaproteobacteria; Enterobacterales; Enterobacteriaceae. The record is from RNAcentral.